Molecule: microRNA precursor, 125 nt
Filed under: Brassica napus (rape)
Lineage: Eukaryota; Viridiplantae; Streptophyta; Magnoliopsida; Brassicales; Brassicaceae
Description: MIR9563 microRNA precursor family
Rfam family: MIR9563 microRNA precursor family
Source: Rfam by way of RNAcentral
GGAAGUUAAGAAACUGUUUCUUAAUUUUUAACUAAAAAAGUUAAGAACCGGUUCUUAAAUAAAGACUUUAAGAACCGGUUCUUAGUUUUUUUAGUUAAAAGUUAAGAAACAGUUUCUUAACUUCC